GAUGAAGAACGUAGUGAAAUGCGAUAAUUAAUGUGAAUUGCAGAAUUCAGUGAAUCAUCGAGUCUUUUAACGCACAUUGCGCCCCCUGGUAUUCCGGGGGGCAUGCCUGUCCGAGCGUCAUUGCUGCCCUCAAGCACGGCUUGUGUGUUGGGCUUCCGUCCCUGGCAACGGGGACGGGCCCAAAAGGCAGUGGCGGCACCAUGUCUGGUCCUCGAGCGUAUGGGGCUUUGUCACCCGCUCCCGUAGGUCCAGCUGGCAGCUAGCCUCGCAACCAAUCUUUUUAACCAGGUUGACCUCGGAUCAGGUAGGGAUACCCGCUGAACUUAAGCAUAUCAAUAAGCGGAGGA
This 347-nucleotide unclassified non-coding RNA is filed under the name soil metagenome. RNAcentral's name for it is "partial contains 5.8S ribosomal RNA, internal transcribed spacer 2, and large subunit ribosomal RNA". The stretch from base 1 to 120 matches the Rfam family "5.8S ribosomal RNA", at positions 35 to 154 of the family's 154-position model. The record is from RNAcentral.